GCCCCGGCGGACAGACGCGAGAAAACAGAAGGGGCCCCGAGUGCCUACGUAGAGCGCACAUACACUGAUGCCACACUUUCCACGGUGGGAAGGAAAUGAAGCGCGCAGUGGCCAGAGCUCGGCGGAUCUGGAUGCAGUGGACUCAUGCAUAAUCUCUCUGUGUUAGACAUUUACCAUCUACCUACCACUCCCGUCUUGAGUAGAGAUGGCUGCUGGACGUCAUGCUACAGGCCUCAAAUAUGUCAAAGAUUCUUCAGCAAGGAAGGAAAAAAGUGUUUUUCUGCUUGCCAUGGCUCAUGCCCUACCUGGAGCUCAUCACUGCCUGACUUCUGCAUGCCCAGUCUGCUGGAGGACCUGUCCUGGGGCCCAGCCGAAAGCUCUUCAGUGAGUUCCCACUCUCCUCUACAAGUCCAGAGCAGCACCAGAAGUGAUCAUCAUCCCGUGUUCCUCAGGAAUUCAUGCAGGAUGGUUGCUGGGGAACUCUGCCCUAUAUGUUUUCUCCUUGUUCCGCUCUUUGCUUCCACUUGCCUCCAUUCUGAUGGCAUGUCUUCUGUGUUCCCCAGCCAGCAGCUUAUUUUGAAGAUUCAACAGGAGCUAACCCAGCACAUUAAACUCAUAUUAACUCUCUAUGCAGGGAAGAUCAAUAGGUUCUAGCCAAAACCUAAAUACACAUCGCUGCUCACCACUGCUUUCACUCAGUCAAACAAAUACGUUUAAAGUUCCAAUACUAAUUCACCUUUAAACUUCUCCAGAGUUCUGAACAAAACCAUACCAACCUGAAACCUGAGGACCACUUCCAAACAAAACAACAUCUACAGCUGUAACUUGGAGAGAAUUCAUUUAAAGAUGAAACCUUCUAUGUAACAGUCAUUUCAAAAUAGAAAUAAAAUGUUUUUUCUUACGUUAAUCCCAAAUCAUCAACAUAGUUAAUAAAUGAGGUUUAGACAUUUGUGACAGAACAUUUCCUGUUCUAUGCUUUAUAAAUGUCUCUCCCAGCAAUGCAAUGCAGCUUGGAGAAGUAGCAGCCCACCUUUACUGAGGGACCUCUAUCUUUCCAGUGCCAUAGAGCAAAUCAUCACCAUUAAUCUGAGGUGCGUCCCUUCACCUUCCCCGAUGGCAAAUCCUACAGGUGGGAGAGAUUAAUAAUAUGCAAAGCAGGAGUGGUCACAGAGUCAGAGUUCAGAAAGGUAAGCUUUCCUCCAUCUCCAGCACACUUGACCACACAGUGCCUGAGCACAGAGCUCAGGCCCCCCACCUGGAUUUGUUACAAUCAUCAAGCAUAUGCAAAGCUCAGAACCAACCUACUCAUUUUCUGCAGCAUCCAGUAUAGGUUAUGUGAAAUAUUAAAAUAUGUAAUUGUAAAUGCAUGCCCUUUAUUGCGUUAUAACUAAGAAACCAGAUCUUUUCCCAGUGACUUUCCAUGCAACUUUUCCCUAUUCUCAUAUCCCAUGGGGCUCUUAAGUGUGCAAAGGCACCAGUAUUAAAAUUUAUAAGAUAUUUAUAUAAAUCAGAUGGUUGGUAAGUAUUAAAUCUGAUUUUUCUCAAUAACCCGAGGGGGAACAUUAAAAUAUUAAAAUUGUUUGAAUUUUUAAAACACAAAUGGGCUUUUGAAUAGUUUAGGCCCAAGUCUCAACUCUUGUACUCAAAUACAUUCUGGCUGAGGACAGAGUACUUGAAGUUUUAAUCUUGUUAUUCACAUCUAGUGAGACAAAUGGCAGACUUAGUAGAAAGUCUGUUCUGAAAAAUCAUAAACAGAUCCAUGUGGAAAAAUGAAUUGUAUUUUCUGUUUUCAUCCCGUGAUUUACAUCUUUGAAUGGAUGUAUCUCUGGUCUUAAAUAAUUGAGGUCAUAAUGUAGAACUUGCUGUCAGAAUUGCCUCAUGGCAUUACCAGUUUAGGUACUAUCUUUGCCUCCAUAUUUCAAUAUCUUUGAUGUAAUUGUGAACAUGAAACCUUACAACAAUUUUCUGUUCAAGAAAUUUUAUUCUCAGACUCUUAACACAUUCUGGGAUCUAAGUCUGGCUCCAUAUCAUCAACUGUGCUGUGAACUCAACAGUUAACAGUUGUGGGUAAGCACAGCCAUAGGCUUCCAUUUUUUUUUUAGUAGAUAAAUAACAUUUUCCUCAAGGAUGAUGUGUUAUUGUUCUGAGAUGUGCAAGGGUAUGUCUAGAAUAGCUGCAGAAGAGGGAGUUGUGCUUGCAAAAAGAACAUUUGCUCUUUCCUUUAGGCUCUGAUUAGGUCAAUUCUUGGGACAUGUUUGGCUUGCAAACCCACAAUUACUGUGGGUACAGUGGUUUACAGCUUUUCUGGAAAAAGGGAUUUCUCUGCAUGCUGUUUUGGUCAUCUUAUUGCCAAACCAGUGUGUAUAUGUGUGCAUUGGAAGAUAAAGCAAAUUGUAACAGGAAUGUGCUUAAAAUUUAUAUCACUUUUUUUCCAUAGCUGGAAAAGGUCAACCUACUGGUAUAGGUGUCUGUGCACAGAAAAAGGAAUACUGCCAUGAGAAAAUAACAGUGGAAUCAGAAGAAACAAGAAAUGAUACACUGACAAAAACAAUGUUUUUAUUGUUAGAUGUUUUAAUCUUUGUGCUUCAGGCCUCAUUUCAUAUUUUGUAUUGCAAAAU
Long non-coding RNA from Meleagris gallopavo (turkey), 2618 nucleotides. RefSeq lists it as uncharacterized. Lineage: Eukaryota; Metazoa; Chordata; Aves; Galliformes; Phasianidae. The record is from RefSeq and is a predicted model, not a curated record.